RNAcentral lists this ribosomal RNA (413 nucleotides) under uncultured bacterium. Its description in RNAcentral is "bacterial SSU rRNA". It matches the Rfam family "Bacterial small subunit ribosomal RNA", at positions 505 to 916 of the family's 1533-position model. The record is from RNAcentral.
GUGCCAGCCGCCGCGGUAAGACGUAGGGGGCGAGCGUUGUCCGGAAUUACUGGGCGUAAAGAGCACGUAGGCGGAUAUUUAAGUCUGGUGUGAAAGACCGGGGCUCAACCUCGGGGUUGCAUUAGAAACUGGAUAUCUUGAGGGCAGGAGAGGGCAGUAGAAUUCCUGGUGUAGCGGUGAAAUGCGUAGAAAUCAGGAGGAAUACCGGUGGCGAAGGCGGCUGUCUGGACUGACCCUGACGCUGAGGUGCGAAAGCGUGGGUAGCAAACAGGAUUAGAUACCCUGGUAGUCCACGCUGUAAACGAUGGAUACUAGGUGUAGGAGGUAUCGACCCCUUCUGUGCCGCAGCAAACGCAAUAAGUAUCCCGCCUGGGGAGUACGGUCGCAAGGCUGAAACUCAAAUAAAUUGACGG